GCCGAUGUAGCUCAGUUGGUAGAGCAACGCAUUCGUAAUGCGCAGGUCGGGGGUUCAAGUCCCUCCAUCGGCACCA
RNAcentral lists this transfer RNA (76 nucleotides) under Rhodospirillaceae bacterium. Its description in RNAcentral is "tRNA-Thr". It matches the Rfam family "tRNA". Rfam says of the family: Transfer RNA (tRNA) molecules are approximately 80 nucleotides in length. Their secondary structure includes four short double-helical elements and three loops (D, anti-codon, and T loops). Further hydrogen bonds mediate the characteristic L-shaped molecular structure. tRNAs have two regions of fundamental functional importance: the anti-codon, which is responsible for specific mRNA codon recognition, and the 3' end, to which the tRNAs corresponding amino acid is attached (by aminoacyl-tRNA synthetases). tRNAs cope with the degeneracy of the genetic code in two manners: having more than one tRNA (with a specific anti-codon) for a particular amino acid; and 'wobble' base-pairing, i.e. permitting non-standard base-pairing at the 3rd anti-codon position. Lineage: Bacteria; Pseudomonadati; Pseudomonadota; Alphaproteobacteria; Rhodospirillales; Rhodospirillaceae. The record is from RNAcentral.